GCGGGGUUGUUACCUCGCGCACGUGACCGCCGGGGUGGUGAUCGCCAUGCUUGCGGAAGUGAGAGUGGCGAGAGGAGGAGCGCUCGCAGGAGACACGCGGAGCCCCGGGCGAGAUCAAGCGGAGGGCACGCUCAGACGCGUCACUGGGGCUGUGCUCCCCGCUGUUGGGAGUGACGAGCCACCGGUUUGGACGCAAGUGCGUGCACGGCGAGCCGAUGGAAGAUGCUGGGCGAAUUGACGACCUCAAGGCUUUUACCGGUUGCUCCAGUGUUGUAGUGGAAGGCCGCGCGUUGUAUUUGGCGCGCGGUGCAAUGGACCAGGCCGGUGGAGGUGCCUGUCAGUCUGUGGUGCAUCACAAAUGGUGCUCUGCGUGUUUUGACCCUCGUGUAUCGGUUGGUGUGAGGAUACACGUUGCAUAUCCACAUCAAAUGCUGUGGCCUCCACUACAUCGGUGAUUUGGUUUGAUGUUUUUAAAAUUAUUUCUCCAGUACAGAUGCCUUGCGUUUUAAACGCACGUUUACAUUUGCGCAGUUUUGAAAUGGCGCGUUAGAUUAAAUUGCACCCAUUUUUGUAAUGCGCGCGCUAUUAUUGCAAUAACACGCUUCGGCACGUGGGCCACAGUGUUACGGAACGCGCCUGCGGAGCUGAUCGUCAGUCAGGCAGCAAAGUUGAGUAGCGAUGCUGCCUGCGGUGCAGCAGCAUGUCAACCACGAGCGCGUGCAGCAGCAGCCGCAGCAGCAUCGCAUUCUCGCACGCCAUUUUGAAGAUCUUGUCUGUGUGAACUUUAUCUUGUUCACACAUUCGAAUGCGCCAUCAUCUCCACCACCGUCGUCAUCCGAUGAUGAUGAUGAUGAUGAUAACCCUCUCUCUCUCCAGUAGUAACCCCACCACUCUCCCCUCCUCCUCGUCCCUUCCACCAGCCCCACUAUACCACCACACUCAAACAUCACACUACGGGUUAAACAUUUUUUUAGUUUUACCUUUUUUUCUUUAAAUAAGCUGUUACUGUCUUUAAUACAUGUAUGAUAGUAUUGGAAAUAUAAUGUUACAGUAACCAGUGAAAUAUGUGGACGUGUAAGAAUGAGGUUCGAUGGGGCGCUCUCUCCCUAACCUCAACCAUUCCCUUAAUUUAUUUUCAGUAAAUUCUGUUUAAUUACGCGAUGUUGAGUUACGCGCUGUCUCACAACCCCCUCGUAAAACGAGAGGUAGCAAUAUAGUCAAUGUGAUUAUUUUUUUGUAUUAUUAUUUUAUCAAAUACUCAUGCCAACGACAAUAUACAAAUUAACCUCAUUCCCUUAAUAAUGAAUAAUUAUGUUAAGAGUGAUUGAAGAUAUAUCGUGUCCUCGAUUGCAUUGUGACUGGAUGUCAACACAGAGCAAUAAAACUAUUGGCAUUCAUAAGUAA
Molecule: non-coding RNA, 1404 nt
Organism: Petromyzon marinus (sea lamprey)
Lineage: Eukaryota; Metazoa; Chordata; Hyperoartia; Petromyzontiformes; Petromyzontidae
Source: RefSeq, a predicted model, not a curated record